Molecule: ribosomal RNA, 506 nt
Filed under: uncultured bacterium
Lineage: Bacteria
Description: partial 16S ribosomal RNA
Rfam family: Bacterial small subunit ribosomal RNA
Source: RNAcentral
AGUGAACGCUGGCGGUAGGCCUAACACAUGCAAGUCGAACGGCAGCACAGGAGAGCUUGCUCUCUGGGUGGCGAGUGGCGGACGGGUGAGGAAUACAUCGGAAUCUACUCUGUCGCGGGGGAUAACGUAGGGAAACUUACGCUAAUACCGCAUACGACCUACGGGUGAAAGCAGGGGACCUUCGGGCCUUGCGCGAUUGAAUGAGCCGAUGUCGGAUUAGCUAGUUGGCGGGGUAAAGGCCCACCAAGGCGACGAUCCGUAGCUGGUCUGAGAGGAUGAUCAGCCACACUGGAACUGAGACACGGUCGAGACUCCUACGGGAGGCAGCAGUGGGGAAUAUUGGACAAUGGGCGCAAGCCUGAUCCAGCCAUACCGCGUGGGUGAAGAAGGCCUUCGGGUUGUAAAGCCCUUUUGUUGGGAAAGAAGUCCAGCUGGCUAAUACCCGGUUGGGAUGACGGUACCCAAAGAAUAAGCACCGGCUAACUUCGUGCCAGCCGCCGCCGUAA